UUCCUUUUAGUAAAAAAGUGAUUACGUUGGUCUUGUAAAUCAAAGUUGGUUGUUCCAAAGGUUU
This 64-nucleotide transfer RNA is filed under the name Pinctada maxima (silver-lipped pearl oyster). Its description in RNAcentral is "tRNA-Thr". Lineage: Eukaryota; Metazoa; Mollusca; Bivalvia; Pterioida; Pteriidae. The record is from RNAcentral.